Molecule: non-coding RNA, 45 nt
Filed under: Schistosoma mansoni
Lineage: Eukaryota; Metazoa; Platyhelminthes; Trematoda; Strigeidida; Schistosomatidae
Source: RNAcentral
AUCCAUCUGACGAGUCCCAAAUAGGACGAAACGCGCGUCCUGGGU